UGUGUGGCUUCCCGUCCAUCUGCCCAUGUGGCUGAGGUCACCGGUGCGGGCACUGCGGCUCUUGUCUGCAUCUGGAGCACUGGGUG
Molecule: non-coding RNA, 86 nt
Organism: Myotis lucifugus (little brown bat)
Lineage: Eukaryota; Metazoa; Chordata; Mammalia; Chiroptera; Vespertilionidae
Source: Rfam